Molecule: ribosomal RNA, 1491 nt
Filed under: metagenome
Description: bacterial SSU rRNA
Rfam family: Bacterial small subunit ribosomal RNA
Source: RNAcentral
AGAGUUUGAUCCUGGCUCAGAUUGAACGCUGGCGGCAUGCCUUACACAUGCAAGUCGAACGGCAGCACGAGAGCUUGCUCUUGGUGGCGAGUGGCGAACGGGUGAGUAAUAUAUCGGAACGUACCCUAGAGUGGGGGAUAACGUAGCGAAAGUUACGCUAAUACCGCGUACGAUCUACGGAUGAAAGUGGGGGAUCGCAAGACCUCAUGCUCAUGGAGCGGCCGAUAUCUGAUUAGCUAGUUGGUGGGGUAAAAGCUCACCAAGGCGACGAUCAGUAGCUGGUCUGAGAGGACGACCAGCCACACUGGAACUGAGACACGGUCCAGACUCCUACGGGAGGCAGCAGUGGGGAAUUUUGGACAAUGGGCGCAAGCCUGAUCCAGCAAUGCCGCGUGAGUGAAGAAGGCCUUCGGGUUGUAAAGCUCUUUUGUCAGGGAAGAAACGGUGGACUCUAAUACAGAUCACUAAUGACGGUACCUGAAGAAUAAGCACCGGCUAACUACGUGCCAGCAGCCGCGGUAAUACGUAGGGUGCAAGCGUUAAUCGGAAUUACUGGGCGUAAAGCGUGCGCAGGCGGUUGUGCAAGACAGAUGUGAAAUCCCCGGGCUCAACCUGGGAAUUGCAUUUGUGACUGCACGGCUAGAGUGUGUCAGAGGGGGGUAGAAUUCCACGUGUAGCAGUGAAAUGCGUAGAGAUGUGGAGGAAUACCGAUGGCGAAGGCAGCCCCCUGGGAUAACACUGACGCUCAUGCACGAAAGCGUGGGGAGCAAACAGGAUUAGAUACCCUGGUAGUCCACGCCCUAAACGAUGUCUACUAGUUGUCGGGUCUUAAUUGACUUGGUAACGCAGCUAACGCGUGAAGUAGACCGCCUGGGGAGUACGGUCGCAAGAUUAAAACUCAAAGGAAUUGACGGGGACCCGCACAAGCGGUGGAUGAUGUGGAUUAAUUCGAUGCAACGCGAAAAACCUUACCUACCCUUGACAUGUCUGGAAUCCUUGAGAGAUCAGGGAGUGCUCGAAAGAGAAUCAGAACACAGGUGCUGCAUGGCUGUCGUCAGCUCGUGUCGUGAGAUGUUGGGUUAAGUCCCGCAACGAGCGCAACCCUUGUCAUUAGUUGCUACGAAAGGGCACUCUAAUGAGACUGCCGGUGACAAACCGGAGGAAGGUGGGGAUGACGUCAAGUCCUCAUGGCCCUUAUGGGUAGGGCUUCACACGUCAUACAAUGGUACAUACAGAGGGCCGCCAACCCGCGAGGGGGAGCUAAUCCCAGAAAGUGUAUCGUAGUCCGGAUUGUAGUCUGCAACUCGACUACAUGAAGUUGGAAUCGCUAGUAAUCGCGGAUCAGCAUGUCGCGGUGAAUACGUUCCCGGGUCUUGUACACACCGCCCGUCACACCAUGGGGGCGGGUUUCACCAGAAGUGGGUAGCCUAACCGCAAGGAGGGCGCUCACCACGGUGGGAUUCGUGACUGGGGUGAAGUCGUAACAAGGUA